UGAUAGCGUAGAAGCGUGAGGUUGCUACCUGAUAUGGUAGGUUUUCCGUGGAGCGAAUGUCAAGUUAAGAAACUGGCGACAA
This 82-nucleotide non-coding RNA is filed under the name human gut metagenome. RNAcentral describes it as "S10-Clostridia ribosomal protein leader". It matches the Rfam family "S10-Clostridia ribosomal protein leader". The record is from RNAcentral.